Molecule: ribosomal RNA, 500 nt
Filed under: uncultured bacterium
Lineage: Bacteria
Description: partial 16S ribosomal RNA
Rfam family: Bacterial small subunit ribosomal RNA
Source: RNAcentral
AUUGAACGCUGGCGGCAUGCCUUACACAUGCAAGUCGAACGGCAGCACGGGAGCAAUCCUGGUGGCGAGUGGCGAACGGGUGAGUAAAGUAUCGGAACGUGCCCAGUCGUGGGGGAUAACGUAGCGAAAGCUACGCUAAUACCGCAUACGAUCUAUGGAUGAAAGCGGGGGAUCGCAAGACCUCGCGCGAUUGGAGAGGCCGAUAUCAGAUUAGGUAGUUGGUGGGGUAAAGGCUCACCAAGCCGACGAUCUGUAGCUGGUCUGAGAGGACGACCAGCCACACUGGGACUGAGACACGGCCCAGACUCCUACGGGAGGCAGCAGUGGGGAAUUUUGGACAAUGGGCGAAAGCCUGAUCCAGCCAUGCCGCGUGCAGGAUGAAGGCCUUCGGGUUGUAAACUGCUUUUGUACGGAACGAAAAGGUUUGGCCUAAUAAGCUGAGCUCAUGACGGUACCGUAAGAAUAAGCACCGGCUAACUACGUGCCAGCCGCCGCCGUAA